RNAcentral lists this ribosomal RNA (451 nucleotides) under uncultured bacterium. RNAcentral's name for it is "partial 16S ribosomal RNA". It matches the Rfam family "Bacterial small subunit ribosomal RNA", at positions 354 to 796 of the family's 1533-position model. The record is from RNAcentral.
GUGGGGAAUAUUGGACAAUGGGGGGAACCCUGAUCCAGCCAUGCCGCGUGUGUGAAGAAGGCCUUUUGGUUGUAAAGCACUUUAAGCGAGGAGGAGGCUACCGAGAUUAAUACUCUUGGAUAGUGGACGUUACUCGCAGAAUAAGCACCGGCUAACUCUGUGCCAGCAGCCGCGGUAAUACAGAGGGUGCAAGCGUUAAUCGGAUUUACUGGGCGUAAAGCGCGCGUAGGUGGCCAAUUAAGUCAAAUGUUAAAUCCCCGAGCUUAACUUGGGAAAUGCAUUCGAUACUGGUUGGCUAGAGUAUGGGAGAGGAUGGUAGAAUUCCAGGUGUAGCGGUGAAAUGCGUAGAGAUCUGGAGGAAUACCGAUGGCGAAGGCAGCCAUCUGGCCUAAUACUGACACUGAGGUGCGAAAGCAUGGGGAGCAAACAGGAUUAGAAACCCUUGUAGUCC